Long non-coding RNA from Pomacea canaliculata, 3836 nucleotides. RefSeq lists it as uncharacterized. The record is from RefSeq and is a predicted model, not a curated record. NCBI's taxonomy places the organism in Eukaryota, Metazoa, Mollusca, Gastropoda, Architaenioglossa, Ampullariidae. The transcript has 3 exons.
CCUUGCUCAGGUACAAACCCUAGGACAGGUCUGCAGCUGUCACACGGCAACAUUGACUGCCUCCAUCCACAUUUUGGUUUAGAAACACUUUGUCUGCAGCUAUUUGGCUGUGUGAGCGGAAAGCACAAUAACUUGGGUGUGUUGUGUAGUCACAUGGCCUGGGUUUUGUACCUGCCCGCCGCACAGCUUAUAAUCGCGAGACUCAACAGAAAACUUCGCCCGUCGCCGUUAUGCACAAUCAUCGUCAGCACCAGUGCCACCCCAGCACAGCUUCACCGACUGUAAGCAGACUUUUGAGGAGAGAGUGGCACGAGGGGCUGUGGCACGUCAUGCAAACAUUCAACCAGCAAUCAAGAGGCUGUAUGUACGUCAAGGGCGCCCCCUAUCACCGGUGCUGGUCAACAUCAUCUUGGAGAACAUCAGUGGUGAAACCCUCCACCUCCACCACUCGUCCUCCCUGUCAUGGAAGUUGAUUUACACUCACACUUUGUAGACGACAUCCAUGUGAUAGAAGGCCCUAUAGGGGGCACUACAGCAGGCACUAUAGGAAGCACUACAGCAGGCACUACAGGAGACACUAUAGCAGGCAUACACUAUAGGAAGCACUACAGCAGGCACUACAGGAGACACUAUAGCAGGCAUACACUAUAGGAAGCCCUAGAGGAGGCACUACAGCAAGGACUAUAGGAGGCACUACAGCAGGCACUAUAGGAGGCACUACAGCAGGCACUACAGGAAGCACUACAGCAGGCACUACAGGAGACACUAUAGCACGCAUGCCCUAUAUGAGGCACUACAGCAGGCACUAUAGGAGGCAUUGUAGCAUGCAGGCACUACAGGAGGCAGUACAGCAGGCAGGCACUAUAAAGGGCACUAUAGCAGGCAGGCACUAUAGGAAGCACUACAGCAGCACUAUAAGAGGCAUUAUAUCAUGCAUUACAGCAGGCACUAUAGGAGGCAUUAUAGCAGGCACUACAGCAGGCUCUAUAGGAAGCACUACAGCAGCACUAUAAGAGGCAUUAUAUCAUGCAUUACAGCAGGCUCUAUAGGAAGCACUAUAGGAGGCACUACAGUAUGCAGGCACUACGGCAGAGAACUACAAGACCUCACCAACACACGGACAGGUCCAACACAAGGAAUGGAGACCCGCACUGACUAUAGUCCUGGUCAUUGACGACGGCCAAGCAGAGAUCGACAUGAAGGUAGUGUGGGUGGAAGUGGUCAGCAGCUUCAAAUACUUGGCAGCCACUUUUCCCAAGGACGACAACUCCACAGAUACCCACCCCAGGAUCGCGACAGUAACAUGGCUCCACUGGACAAGGUCUGGUGCACCCGUGACACCAGGUGGACUACAAAGUACACGUCCCGCAUAGCACCCUCUCUGUUGUACGGGUGUCAAGUGCAGACAACCCAGGGAGUGGAGGACCAGUGCCCGAGGAGGCUGCUGUGGACGUCGUACUGAGAACGUACACGUACCCGACACCACCGACAUCUACCUGCAACGGUCAAGCGGCGCAAGUCAUGUGACCCACACAACACUUUGUUCAAGGUACCUUGAAAUGUAGUCGACGCCGCCAUGGUCAGAGGAAGAACUGGCGAACGUCACACACUAUUGUGUGUGUGGACUGGUGAGUAGAACUGGCGAACGUCACACACUAUGUGUGUGUGGACUAGUCAGUAGAACUGGCGAACGUCACACACUAUUUUGUGUGUGUGGACUAGUCAGUAGAACUGGCGAACGUCACACGCUAUUGUGUGUGUGUGGACUAGUCAGUAGAACUGGCGAACGUCACACGCUAUUGUGUGUGUGUGUGGACUAGUCAGUGGAAAUGGCGAACGUCACACGCUAUUGUGUGUGUGUGGACUAGUCAGUAGAACUGGAGAAUGUCACACACUAUUGUGUGUGUGGACUAGUCAGUAGAACUGGCGAACGUCACACACUAUUGUGUGUGUGGACUAGUCAGUAGAACUGGCGAACGUCACACACUAUUGUGUGUGUGGACUGGUCAGUAGAACUGGCGAACGUCACACACUAUUGUGUGUGUGGACUGGUCAGUAGAACUGGCGAACGUCACACACUAUUGUGUGUGUGGACUAGUCAGUAGAACUGGCGAACGUCACACGCUAUUGUGUGUGUGUGUGUACUAGUCAGUAGAACUGGCGAACGUCACACGCUAUUGUGUGUGUGUGGACUGGUCAGUAGAACUGGCGAACGUCACACACUAUUGUGUGUGUGGACUAGUCAGUAGAACUGGCGAACGUCACACGCUAUUGUGUGUGUGUGGACUGGUCAGUAGAACUGGAGAACGUCACACGCUAUUGUGUGUGUGUGGACUAGUCAGUAGAACUGGCGAACGUCACACACUAUUGUGUGUGUGUGGACUAGUCAGUAGAACUGGCGAACGUCACACACUAUUGUGUGUGGACUAGUCAGUAGAACUGGCGAACGUCACACACUAUUGUGUGUGUGGACUAGUCAGUAGAACUGGCGAACGUCACACGCUAUUGUGUGUGUGUGGACUAGUCAGUAGAACUGGAGAAUGUCACACACUUUUGUGUGUGUGGACUAGUCAGUAGAACUGGCGAACGUCACACACUAUUGUGUGUGUGGACUGGUCAGUAGAACUGGCGAACGUCACACACUAUUGUGUGUGUGGACUAGUCAGUAGAACUGGCGAACGUCACACGCUAUUGUGUGUGUGUGGACUGGUCAGUAGAACUGGAGAACGUCACACACUAUUGUGUGUGUGGAUUGAUCAGAACUGGCGAACGUCACACACUGGUGUUUCAUAUAUCGCCCAAAACAGGCAAGAGUGGCGGGCCCUGUCAGCUGCCGCGUCUAUCCAUGUGAUCCCCACUACGAUCAGGUACGACAGGUCACGAAUGACUAACCGGCUGACUAGGGAUACUUAACAAUUUCUGGACCUAUAUUUAUGCAGUUCUAGGGUGCACGGCUAUCUCUGGUCCUCUAGGUACGUAGUACUCGGGUACACAGCUAUCUCUGGUCCUCUAGGUACGUAGUACUCGGGUACACAGCUAUCUCUGGUCCUCUAGGUACGUAGUACUCGGGUACACAGCUAUCUCUGGUCCUCUAGGUACAUGACACACGUUUUUCGAGUUGUUGAAAGAACUGAAAGUUGUGUGUGUACAAGCGGUACACAGGUAUGAGUCUGUGACAUUUUUCCCUGCUGAAAGCUGUACAUCAACUUAUCCUUCCUCUUCGAUCCCUUCCCACCGCUUUUCACUCCAUUUAUAACCUAUCACACUUCACUUCUAAUGUCACACGUCACCUACUUCUAAUCUGUCACACUUCACUUCUAAUCUGUCACACUUCUUCAACCAACGUGGUUUCUAGAACUGCACAUCAGCGCUUGCUGCUGCCCUGGCAGUGGAGGAAUUUUCUGAUCACUGUCAUGAAGAUUUUGUUAUCAGGAGCAUUUUAGUAUUCAAUCUUUCUCCGUUAUUUGGCAUUCUAUCAAGGAUAAAGACCAUCUGCAAGAUCAUUAACUUUCCACAAAGACCAUUAGGUGAUCGAUACACCAGGGCUGUGAGGUUAAAAGUUGUCAGAAUCAUCACAGAUCCCUACCACCUGCUAUAUCACAAAUGUUAUCAGCACCUUGUCACUCCCACCAUAGUGUGCUUGUGACAAUCGUCACUGACUGGUUGGGUGUCACUGUGGGGGUGAUUUCAGGCUGACAUUUUUUUUUCAGUUUAUUACUUAUGGCAGCUCCAAACAAAUAUUUCUAGCUCUGUUGUCGACAGAAAAGACAAUAAAAACAACCACUCCCGAUGACUGUGCUUUGUGAGAAAUGAGAAUGCUCUGCUUUGAGAAAAAA